Molecule: ribosomal RNA, 400 nt
Filed under: phytoplankton environmental sample
Lineage: Eukaryota
Description: partial small subunit ribosomal RNA
Rfam family: Eukaryotic small subunit ribosomal RNA
Source: RNAcentral
AGCUCCAAUAGCGUAUAUUAAAGUUGUUGCAGUUAAAAAGCUCGUAGUUGGAUUUGUGGACGGACCGGUCGGUCCUGCACAUAGUGCGGGUACCUGACCUGUCCAUCCAUCUUUGGGUGGAUGCUGUGUGGCAUUAAGUUGUCGUGCAGUGGAUGCCCAUCGUUUACUGUGAAAAAAUUAGAGUGUUCAAAGCAGGCUUACGCCGUUGAAUAUAUUAGCAUGGAAUAAUGAGAUAGGACCUCGGUGCUAUUUUGUUGGUUUGCGCACCGACGUAAUGAUUAACAGGGACAGUUGGGGGUAUUCGUAUUCCAUUGUCAGAGGUGAAAUUCUUGAAUUUCUGGAAGACGCACUAAUGCGAAAGCAUUUACCAAGGAUGUUUUCAUUAAUCAAGAACGAAAGU